GUGGCUGUAGCUCAAUUGGUUAGAGCACCAGACUGUGGCUCUGGGGGUUGCGGGUUCAAUUCCCGUCAGUCACC
This 74-nucleotide transfer RNA is filed under the name Gemmatimonadaceae bacterium. Its description in RNAcentral is "tRNA-His". It matches the Rfam family "tRNA". Rfam says of the family: Transfer RNA (tRNA) molecules are approximately 80 nucleotides in length. Their secondary structure includes four short double-helical elements and three loops (D, anti-codon, and T loops). RNAcentral also lists the same sequence under 1 other name. Lineage: Bacteria; Pseudomonadati; Gemmatimonadota; Gemmatimonadia; Gemmatimonadales; Gemmatimonadaceae. The record is from RNAcentral.